GACGAACGCUGGCGGCGUGCUUAACACAUGCAAGUCGAACGGCAAGGCCCUGCUUUUGUGGGGUGCUCGGGUGGCGAACGCGUGAGUAACACGUGAGUAACCUGCCCUUGACUUUGGUAUAACUUCAGGAAACUGGGGCUACUACCGGAUAGGAGCUCCUGCUGCAUGGUGGGGGUUGGAAAGUUUCGGCGGGUGGGGUUGGACUCGCGGAUUAUCAGCUUGUUGGUGGGGUAGUGGCUUACCAAGGCUUGGACGGGUAGCCGGCCUGGGAGGGUGAACGGCGACAAUGGGACUGAGAGACGGCGCAGACUCCUACGGGAGACAGCAGUGGGGAAUAUUGUACAAUGGGCGGAAGCCUGAUGCAGAAGCGUCGCGUGCGGGAUGACGGCCUUCGGGUUGUGAACCGCUUUCGCCUGUGACGAAGCGUGAGUGACGGUAAUGGGUAAAGAAGCACCGGCUAACUACGUG
This 468-nucleotide ribosomal RNA is filed under the name uncultured bacterium. RNAcentral's name for it is "partial 16S ribosomal RNA". It matches the Rfam family "Bacterial small subunit ribosomal RNA", at positions 28 to 507 of the family's 1533-position model. The record is from RNAcentral.